UUUCCCUCAGGAUAGCUGGCACUCGCUAGAGCGAGUCUCAUCUGGUAAAGCGAAUGAUUAGAGGCCUUGGGGCCGAAACGACCUCAACCUAUUCUCAAACUUUAAAUGGGUGAGAUCUCUGGCUUGCUUGAACGUUGAAGCCACGAGAUUUUAAUGCAAUGGAUCAGAGUGCCAAGUGGGCCAAUUUUGGUAAGCAGAACUGGCGCUGUGGGA
Molecule: ribosomal RNA, 213 nt
Filed under: Cales berryi
Lineage: Eukaryota; Metazoa; Arthropoda; Insecta; Hymenoptera; Calesidae
Description: partial 28S ribosomal RNA
Rfam family: Eukaryotic large subunit ribosomal RNA
Source: RNAcentral